This is a long non-coding RNA of Amblyraja radiata (thorny skate), 246 nucleotides long. RefSeq lists it as uncharacterized. NCBI's taxonomy places the organism in Eukaryota, Metazoa, Chordata, Chondrichthyes, Rajiformes, Rajidae. The transcript is spliced from 3 exons. The record is from RefSeq and is a predicted model, not a curated record.
GUCCCGUUACUGUUUGUCAUCUACAUCAAUGAUUUGGAUGAGAACCUACAGGGCAAGAUUAGCAAGUUAGCCGAUGAAACAAAAGUGAGUGGAUUUGCAGAUAGUGAAGAUUGUUGUGAAAGAUUGUAGCAGGAUCUGGCUCGAUUGGCCAGGUGGGCGGAGGAGUGGUUGAUGGAAUUUAAUACAGAGAAGUGUGAGGCGUUGCAUUUUGUGACGUCGUACAAGGCAAGGACAUACACAGUGAAU